RNAcentral lists this long non-coding RNA (337 nucleotides) under Hordeum vulgare. Its description in RNAcentral is "long non-coding RNA (HVUL_LNC002290)". Lineage: Eukaryota; Viridiplantae; Streptophyta; Magnoliopsida; Poales; Poaceae. The record is from RNAcentral.
UGCCGCCGCACAAAGUCCAACCCUAGAUCCAGCCCCGAUCCGCGGCCAUGGCGACGCGCCGGGCCCUCUCCUCGCUCCUCCGAUCGGCGUCCCGCGCCCGCGCGGCCUCCCCGUCGCCGCGCCCGCGCCCGGCGCCGCUCCACCGCCCGUCCCCGGCCGGCUACCUCUUCAACCGCGCCGCCGCCUACGCCUCCGCCGCCGCGGCCGAGGCCCCGGCCCCGGCCGACAAGCUGCCCCCCACCUCCGACAAGUACGUCGGCGCCAAGAUCACCGACGAGUUCACCGGCGCCGGCUCCGUCGGCCAGGUCUGCCAGGUCAUCGGCGCCGUCGUCGACGU